Molecule: ribosomal RNA, 175 nt
Filed under: Helicobacter pylori
Lineage: Bacteria; Pseudomonadati; Campylobacterota; Epsilonproteobacteria; Campylobacterales; Helicobacteraceae
Description: partial 23S ribosomal RNA
Rfam family: Bacterial large subunit ribosomal RNA
Source: RNAcentral
CCCGAGUAAACGGCGGCCGUAACUAUAACGGUCCUAAGGUAGCGAAAUUCCUUGUCGGUUAAAUACCGACCUGCAUGAAUGGCGUAACGAGAUGGGAGCUGUCUCAACCAGAGAUUCAGUGAAAUUGUAGUGGAGGUGAAAAUUCCUCCUACCCGCGGCAAGACGGAAAGACCCC